Molecule: ribosomal RNA, 466 nt
Filed under: uncultured bacterium
Lineage: Bacteria
Description: partial 16S ribosomal RNA
Rfam family: Bacterial small subunit ribosomal RNA
Source: RNAcentral
GACGAACGCUGGCGGUGUGCUUAACACAUGCAAGUCGGACGGUAAGGCCCUUUCGGGGGUACACGAGUGGCGAACGGGUGAGUAACACGUGAGUAACCUGCCCUCAUCUCUGGGAUAACAGUCGGAAACGGUUGCUAAUACUGGAUAUGAGCUUGCAAGGCAUCUUGUGGGUUGGAAAGAUUUUUUUGGUUGGGGAUGGACUCGCGGCCUAUCAGCUUGUUGGUGAGGUAGUGGCUCACCAAGGCUUCGACGGGUAGCCGGCCUGAGAGGGCGACCGGCCACAUUGGGACUGAGAUACGGCCCAAACUCCUACGGGAGGCAGCAGUGGGGAAUAUUGCACAAUGGACGGAAGUCUGAUGCAGCAACGCCGCGUGCGGGAUGACGGCCUUCGGGUUGUAAACCGCUUUCAAUUGUGACGAAGCUUUUUGUGACGGUAGCAGUAGAAGAAGCACCGGCUAACUACGUG